UUAAAUUGAAGAGUUUGAUCAUGGCUCAGAUUGAACGCUGGCGGCAGGCCUAACACAUGCAAGUCGAACGGUAACAGGAAGCAGCUUGCUGCUUUGCUGACGAGUGGCGGACGGUGAGUAAUG
RNAcentral lists this ribosomal RNA (123 nucleotides) under Escherichia sp. E1130. Its description in RNAcentral is "partial 16S ribosomal RNA". It matches the Rfam family "Bacterial small subunit ribosomal RNA", at positions 1 to 115 of the family's 1533-position model. The record is from RNAcentral. Lineage: Bacteria; Pseudomonadati; Pseudomonadota; Gammaproteobacteria; Enterobacterales; Enterobacteriaceae.